GAGGGUGUAGCUCAGUGGUAGAGUGCGUGCCAGGCACGCACAAGGUCCUGGGUUCAACCCCCAGUACCUCCA
This 72-nucleotide transfer RNA is filed under the name Camelus bactrianus (Bactrian camel). It matches the Rfam family "tRNA". From Rfam's summary of the family: Transfer RNA (tRNA) molecules are approximately 80 nucleotides in length. Their secondary structure includes four short double-helical elements and three loops (D, anti-codon, and T loops). Lineage: Eukaryota; Metazoa; Chordata; Mammalia; Artiodactyla; Camelidae. The record is from Rfam by way of RNAcentral. RNAcentral also lists the same sequence under 2 other names.